Molecule: ribosomal RNA, 609 nt
Filed under: Acinetobacter baumannii
Lineage: Bacteria; Pseudomonadati; Pseudomonadota; Gammaproteobacteria; Moraxellales; Moraxellaceae
Description: partial 23S ribosomal RNA
Rfam family: Bacterial large subunit ribosomal RNA
Source: RNAcentral
AUAGACCCGAAACCCGGUGAUCUAGCCAUGGGCAGGUUGAAGGUUGGGUAACACUAACUGGAGGACCGAACCGACUAAUGUUGAAAAAUUAGCGGAUGACUUGUGGCUGGGGGUGAAAGGCCAAUCAAACCGGGAGAUAGCUGGUUCUCCCCGAAAGCUAUUUAGGUAGCGCCUCGUGAACUCAUCUUCGGGGGUAGAGCACUGUUUCGGCUAGGGGGCCAUCCCGGCUUACCAAACCGAUGCAAACUCCGAAUACCGAAGAAUGUUAUCACGGGAGACACACGGCGGGUGCUAACGUCCGUCGUGAAGAGGGAAACAACCCAGACCGCCAGCUAAGGUCCCAAAGUCAUGGUUAAGUGGGAAACGAUGUGGGAAGGCACAGACAGCCAGGAUGUUGGCUUAGAAGCAGCCAUCAUUUAAAGAAAGCGUAAUAGCUCACUGGUCGAGUCGGCCUGCGCGGAAGAUGUAACGGGGCUAAACCAUGCACCGAAGCUGCGGCAGCGACACUUAGGUGUUGUUGGGUAGGGGAGCGUUCUGUAAGCCGUUGAAGGUGACCUGUGAGGGUUGCUGGAGGUAUCAGAAGUGCGAAUGCUGACGUGAGUAACGACA